GAUGAAGAACGUAGCGAAAUGCGAUAAGUAAUGUGAAUUGUAGAAUUCAGUGAAUCAUCGAAUCUUUGAACGCAUCUUGCGCUCCUUGGUAUUCCUUGGAGCAUGCCUGUUUGAGUAUCAUGAGCAAAUCUCAAAGUCAAUUCCUUUUGUUGAUUCAAUUGGUUUUGCUUUGGACUUGGAGGCCUUGCAGAUUUCACAGUCUGCUCCUCUUAAAUGCAUUAGCUGGAUCUCAGUAAUUAUGCUUGGUUCCACUCGGCGUGAUAAGUAUCACUCGCUGAGGACACUGUUAAAAAGGUGGCCAGGAAAAUACUGAUUGAACCGCUUCUAACGGUCUAUUAAGUUAGACAAUUACCCUUAAGUUUGAUCUCAAAUCAGGUAGGACUACCCGCUGAACUUAAGCAUAUCAAUAAGCGGAGGA
Molecule: unclassified non-coding RNA, 418 nt
Filed under: soil metagenome
Description: partial contains 5.8S ribosomal RNA, internal transcribed spacer 2, and large subunit ribosomal RNA
Rfam family: 5.8S ribosomal RNA (bases 1-120)
Source: RNAcentral